AUCUUUCUAGUAAAAAUUAGUACAGAUGACUUCCAAUCACCUAGUCUUGGUUAAAAUCCAAGGAAAGAUA
Molecule: transfer RNA, 70 nt
Filed under: Strongylura anastomella
Lineage: Eukaryota; Metazoa; Chordata; Actinopteri; Beloniformes; Belonidae
Description: tRNA-Gly
Rfam family: tRNA
About the family: Transfer RNA (tRNA) molecules are approximately 80 nucleotides in length.
Source: RNAcentral